RNAcentral lists this ribosomal RNA (730 nucleotides) under uncultured bacterium. Its description in RNAcentral is "bacterial SSU rRNA". It matches the Rfam family "Bacterial small subunit ribosomal RNA", at positions 771 to 1501 of the family's 1533-position model. The record is from RNAcentral.
AACAGGAUUAGAUACCCUGGUAGUCCACGCCGUAAACGAUGAGUACUAGGUGUAGGAGGUAUCGACUCCUUCUGUGCCGCAGUUAACACAAUAAGUACUCCGCCUGGGAAGUACGGUCGCAAGAUUAAAACUCAAAGGAAUUGACGGGGGCCCGCACAAGCAGCGGAGCAUGUGGUUUAAUUCGAAGCAACGCGAAGAACCUUACCUAGACUUGACAUCUCCUGAAUAGCCGGUAACUCGGCGAAGCCUUUCGGGGCAGGAAGACAGGUGGUGCAUGGUUGUCGUCAGCUCGUGUCGUGAGAUGUUGGGUUAAGUCCCGCAACGAGCGCAACCCUUAUCAUUAGUUGCUACCAUUUAGUUGAGCACUCUAAUGAGACUGCCGUGGUUAACGCGGAGGAAGGUGGGGAUGACGUCAAAUCAUCAUGCCCCUUAUGUCUAGGGCUACACACGUGCUACAAUGGUGAGUACAAAGAGACGCAAUAUCGUGAGGUGGAGCAAAACUCAAAAACUCAUCCCAGUUCGGAUUGUAGGCUGAAACUCGCCUACAUGAAGCCGGAGUUGCUAGUAAUCGCGAAUCAGCAUGUCGCGGUGAAUACGUUCCCGGGCCUUGUACACACCGCCCGUCACACCAUGAGAGUCUGCAACACCCGAAGUCCGUGAGGUAACCCGUAAGGGAGCCAGCGGCCGAAGGUGGGGCCGAUGAUUGGGGUGAAGUCGUAACAAGGUAACC